CUCAUCAUUCAUCACCAAUUAAAUAAGACGCCACCGAAAAGUCGGAGAAAGCCAACCAUUCGAACAACCCAACCGCCUUCAUCUUCCAUCUUCUUCUUCACUAAUAAAACCAGUUAGGGUUUAUCAAUCUAAACCCUAACCCUAACACCAUGGCCCGAUCUCCAUCCUCCACGUCGCGUCUACUCUACACUCUCCGUUAUGCGACCUUUUGGUAGUCUGUCGUUCCCAUCUCCCCUAUAACCUGAUUUUCCGAUCUUAAAGGUUACAUCAAUGGAGAUGACUCUCAUCUUCCCCCUGACCUGUUUUCAAUUCUUACCUCAAUCGACCAGAUCUGAGAUUGAUAGAUUAUUUAAAAAAUCUAGGGUUCCAUGUCAGAACCGAAGGUGAAAACAAAGAUUCAAGUUGAUUUGAGAUCCACCUACGAGGAUUCAGAAAUAGUUAACUAGAGAGAUAAAGAUGGGGCCAAUGCUACAAAGGCCACUUUCUAUUAGAUAAAACGACAUUUGGCAUCUGGGUCGGAUCGAAAUCUUUUGCAGGGUCUUCUUCUUAAGCGAUCUGAAACGAGCGGCUGCAAAACUUAGCGAUAAAUACCCUAAUAGGGAUUAAUCUCAUUCAGUGUUGUUAUGCCUGAUUUCCAUCAUAUAGGUUUGUGGUACAGUUCUUAUGCAGUUAUAGCACCCUACCAAUGUAUGCACUUGAUACGCAGAUGGGUACAAAUUACAAGGCUGAAUUAAUUCCCCAAAGAACUAGAGAUACAAUCCAUGGUUGGGGAAAAGAAGCCAGA
This is a long non-coding RNA of Helianthus annuus (common sunflower), 784 nucleotides long. RefSeq lists it as uncharacterized. The transcript has 4 exons. The record is from RefSeq and is a predicted model, not a curated record. NCBI's taxonomy places the organism in Eukaryota, Viridiplantae, Streptophyta, Magnoliopsida, Asterales, Asteraceae.